Molecule: ribosomal RNA, 492 nt
Filed under: uncultured bacterium
Lineage: Bacteria
Description: partial 16S ribosomal RNA
Rfam family: Bacterial small subunit ribosomal RNA
Source: RNAcentral
AGUGAACGCUGGCGGUAGGCCUAACACAUGCAAGUCGAACGGCAGCACAGUAAGAGCUUGCUCUUACGGGUGGCGAGUGGCGGACGGGUGAGGAAUACAUCGGAAUCUACUUUUUCGUGGGGGAUAACGUAGGGAAACUUACGCUAAUACCGCAUACGACCUACGGGUGAAAGCAGGGGAUCUUCGGACCUUGCGCGAUUGAAUGAGCCGAUGUCGGAUUAGCUAGUUGGCGGGGUAAACGCCCACCAAGGCGACGAUCCGUAGCUGGUCUGAGAGGAUGAUCAGCCACACUAGAACUGAGACACGGUCCAGACUCCUAGGGGAGGCAGCAGUGGGGAAUAUUGGACGAUGGGCGCAAGCCUAAUCCAGCCAUACCGCGUGGGUGAAGAAGGCCAACGGGUUGUAAAGCCCUUUUGUUGGGAAAGAAAAGCAGCAGGUUAAUACCCCGCUGUUCUGACGGUACCCAAAGAAUAAGCACGGGCUAACUUCGUG